AAACCUGCCCCUGACUUCAUAACUUCUUGUACAUUCCAUAAUUCAAAAUGUACUCCAUCUGACUUCAAAAGUCUCCACAUUCUUAACAGCUUCGGCAUUGUUAAAAAGUACAAAAUCUCAAGUAUCUUCUGAAACUUAAGGAAAUCUUUUAUCUGUAAGCCCUUGUAAAAUUAGAAAACAAAACAAUUUAUAUACUUCCAGUAUACACUGGCACAGAUUAAACAUCAUUCCAAAACGGAGAAGUGAGGACAUAGCAAAGAAAGAAAAUAUCAACUCAAGACUGACACCAAAUCUUCUAGCUCCAUGUCUAGCAUCAAGGACUAAUGGUAUCAUCAUUUGAGAUUCAACAAGCAUGGAGCUCUGUUGCCAGCAGCACACAUAGUUUCUUUCUUUUCCUACCUUGUCUUAGUGCCUACAACUUUUCUAGGCAGACUUUCCCCAUUCCUGGCAUCGCCAACAUCCUGUAGUCUGCAUGGUGACUUAGACUUCACAGUCGUCGCGUUGUAUAUAGCACACUCAGAAGCUCCAUGAUUCUGCCAGACAUUGUCUGAUCUCAGUGGAUUUCUGAAACUUUGAUGCAAGCCUCCAUGACCUCAUAUCACUCCUAUUCAUAUCACUUCUAUUUUGCAUGCCUGUAGCAUCAGUACCACUUAGAUGACAGCAAGUUCUGCUGCCAUCUUCAGAUAUAGCCUGCCCUCUUUGGACCACACUUAAAACUGUUGUGUGUUUUUAAAACUGAAUCUUGGAAAAUAACUUCCCAAGGUGGCUCUUCAGCUCUCCUCUGUCAGUUAAGCCCCGUGUCCAAAAGAUUCUAUAAUCUCCCAAAAUAUCCCUGCCAGGAAGAGUCUAAAUGUUCAAACACAUAAGCCUGUUGUGGUUAGUUCACAUUUACAGUGUAACAGUUGUAUCUUCCUCUUCAAAUGCCUACACAUAAAUCUAAAACAUUUCCUUCCUUUUUCUUGUCCCUUUCUUAGUAAAUCCUAGUUCUGCUUCAGAUGGAUUCAUCCUGAAAUUCUGUUCUGUUGUGUAAGUCAAGAUCCUGGCCAUACUCGAGUGUCACCUGGAAAAUGAAAAUUGACCUUUUGGAUGACAACUUGGAAGAAUAUAAUCCAAAACUGAUGAAAAUUCCAUUCCUUUCAGCAUUCUGAGUUUAACAAGGCAAAAAGAAAAGUUAUAUAUUUUAAGGAGACAUAAUUUUUAAUUAAAAUUUGUAUUAUCUGAAUUAUUAACUGAGGGUCAAGAGUUCAGUUGUAGAACAUUGACCUAGCAUGAGCAAGACCUUCAGUUUGAUCCCCACCACUGGAAACCAUUUUUCCUGACCCAUAAUAAUUGUACAUGUUUAUGAAUGCAUUAUGAUCAUUUGAUGCUCAUAUACAAUAUAUAAUGAUUAAAUAAGGAUAAUUAGCAUUUGAACCCCCUUAAGCAUUUACCAUGUUUUUAGUUCUUCUAGUUCCUUAAAAAAAUCCAUAGUAAACUGUUCUCAAAUUACUGGAUGAUGAAACACUGGAAUUUAAUCCUCUGGUUUUAUUAUGGUACCUGAUGCUUGACCCUAAAGAGGUCUGUCUCUCUUUCUCUCUCUCUCUUUCAUUGUGUUUAUUCCAUACUUACUGUUUAAACAUAAAUGUGUUAUAUACAUGGGCACAUGUUCAGUGGUACAUUUUAAAGGUCAGAAGAUAACUUUGUGGGAUUGGUUCUCUUCUUCCACCUUUUAUUGGUUUCAGGGAUUGAGCUCAGGUCAUCUGGUUUAUGCAUCAAAUGUCUUUACCUGCAGAGUCAUUUCACUUGCUAUCCCCUUAAAGAGCUAUUCUUAAAAGGGUUAAGGAGUUGUGGUAAAUGAUCUCAAAACUGCCUUACAGUUUGUGGUGGAUUGAAUAAAAUGCCCCCCAUAGGUCUUGGGCAUUUGAAUACUUUAAUCUCCAGUUGGUGGCUAUUAAGGAAAGAUUAGGAGAGGUAUGUCAGUGGGGGUCAGCCUUGAGGUUCCAAACUACUUGUGCCAUUCCCAGUGUGCUCCCUGCCUCAUGUUUAUGGUUUGAGAUGUGAGUUCUCAGCUGUUCCUGCCACUAUGCCUUCAAUCCACCAUCAUGGGAUCUAAGCCUAUGGAACCAUAAGCCCAAUUUUUAUAGCUUGCCUUGAUCAUAGUGUUUUUAUCACAACAAUAGAAAAGUGACCAAGAUACAGUUUUAAGACCAAGUCUUCAGUCACAGUGCUUGUGGAGGCACUUCUUGGAUCGUAUGUUAAUGGUAAAAUGAGAUACUUCUUCUGCUGUGUCAGUGAGAAAAUAUAUCAUAUACACCAAGUAGCUAUAUGGGGCUGUAUGGGACUGGGCACAUGGUAAGUACUGAAGUAACCUGGCAGUUUUGAAACUGUGGGUUCUCUGCCUUGAGUGCAUGGAAGAAGAAUCAAUUUUGUCUACGUCAAUCCCUUCGUUAAGUUGUUUGGUAGUACUGUAUUGCACACAUAUACUGUUUAUGUAAUGGUUUUUAAAUUGAUGAGAACGAUUUCUGACUGUUUUAUGUUUUACUAAAGCUGUGAUGAGCAAUUGUGUAUGCUUUGAAUGGGUGUUUAUGGUCAUUAUCAUGGAUAAGACUCUAAUAGCAGAAUCUCUAGGUUAUGGCCAUGAUUGUACCUCUGGGAGCAGCAGCUGUCAAAGUGGUUUCCACUGUGAAUAUGCCAUAUUUUGUCGCUUUGAGCAGGACAUGGUAGCGCCAUUUGUGUUGCAUUGGCAACUUGAAUGAUCAGAUGGUCACAAUUUUAGACAUUCUACCAGAACUAUAGUAGAAUCACAUUGUAAUUUUAAUUUGCAUUUCUAUGAUGACAAAUGCUUUUUAGCAACUUUCAUUUCAUACCUGCUCUUUAAGCAUUUGCAUGACAUUGUACUCAAAAUGUUAGCCUUUAGUCAUGGAGUUAUCUGGCAGUAAAAGUUUCAGAAUGACAAUUGCACUGCCAAUAUUUUACAUUGGUAGAGAUGUCUGAAAUUUCCAGUGCCCUUAGAAUGGGUAUGAUACACACAGUUUCAAACAUUCAGUAGGUUCAAUAAACAUUGACCCAACUAUGAAAUCCUAAUGAAGUGCUCCAAGGAAACAGUCACCAUAAUGAAGGGUCAGAAGGGUUGCACAGGAGGUGAUGUAUGUAAUUUUAC
Non-coding RNA from Myodes glareolus (Bank vole), 3139 nucleotides. NCBI's taxonomy places the organism in Eukaryota, Metazoa, Chordata, Mammalia, Rodentia, Cricetidae. The record is from RefSeq and is a predicted model, not a curated record.